AGUUUGAUCCUGGCUCAGGAUGAACAACUGGUUGCCCGCUUAAUGCUUGUCCGUCAAACCAAGCACUUGCAUGUAAUUCUUCGGAAGGAAGCUCCUGUGACUGAAUGGGGGACUGGUGAUUAAAGAUUGGGUAACCUGCCUCAUCCCGGGGGUAUAACAUUUCGAAAUGACUGCUAAUACCGCAUACCCACACAUGAUCGCAUGAUCGAUUGUGAAAAACUCCCGCGGUAUGACAUGGACCCGCCUCUGAUUAGUUGGUUGGGGGGGUAAUGGUCCACCAAAGCAACAAUCAGUAGCGGCCUUGAGAGGGUGAACGGCCACAUUGGGAUUGACACACGGCCCAAACUCCUACGGGAGGCACCAGUGGGGAAUAUUGCCCAAUGGGGGAAACCUUGAUGCAGGGACGCGGGGUGAAGGAUGAAGUAUUUGGGUAUGUAAAUUUUUUUCAGCAGGGAGGAAAAUGACGGUCCCUGAUUAAGAAGCCCGGGCUAAUUAGGUCCCAGCAGCCGCGGUAAUAGGUAGGGGGCAAGCUUUUUCCGGAUUUAUUGGGUGUAAAGGGAGGGUAGAGGGCAGUGCAAUUCUGAAGUGAAAGCCCGGGGUUCAACCCGGGGACUCCUUUGGAAACUGUGCAGUUAGAGUUUGGGAGAGGCAAGCGGAAUUCUUAGUGUAGCGGUGAAAUGGGUAGAUAUUAGGAGGACCCCCAGUGGGGAAGGCGGCCUUGCUGGACGAUGACUUACGUUGAGGUUUGAAAGCGUGGGGAGCAACCAUGAUUAGAUACCUUGGUAGUCCGCGCCGUAAAUGAUGACUUCUAGGUGUCGGGGAGCUAAGCUCUUCGGUGCCGCAGCCAACGCAAUAAGUAGUCCACCCGCGGGAGUACGUUCGCAAGAAUGAAACUCAAAGGAAUCGACGGGGUCCCGCUCAAGCGGUGGAGCAUUGUGUGUUUAAUUGGAAGCAACGCGAAGAACCUUACCUUCUAUCUGACAUCCCGUGUGUCGGGCAAGUAAUGUUGCCUUUCUUUCGGGACAUGAGGAGACAGGUGCGUGCAUGGUGGUUGUCAGCUCGUGUUGUGUGAUCGUAGGGUUAAGUUCCCGCAUCUGCAGCGUCAACCCCUAUUUUCUAGUAGCCAGGGGUAAGUCCGGCCCCUCUGGCGAGAUCACCAGGGAGUCCAUGUAGGAAGGCGGGGGUGAUGUCCAAUCAUCCUGCCCGUUCUGAGCUGGGCUACACACGUGGCACACAGGUGUAAACAAAGGGAAGCAGAGUGAGGCGGCCGACGCCAAUCCCAAAAAUACCGUCUCAGUUUGGAUCGUAGUGAUCAACUUGAGUACAAGAAGCUGGAAUCGCUAGUAAUCGCGAAUCAGAAUGUAGCGGUGAACCAGUUCCCGGCUCGAGCACACACCGCCCGUCA
RNAcentral lists this ribosomal RNA (1405 nucleotides) under uncultured bacterium. RNAcentral's name for it is "partial 16S ribosomal RNA". It matches the Rfam family "Bacterial small subunit ribosomal RNA". The record is from RNAcentral.